RNAcentral lists this long non-coding RNA (362 nucleotides) under Callithrix jacchus (white-tufted-ear marmoset). Its description in RNAcentral is "lncRNA (ENSCJAG00000078648.1)". Lineage: Eukaryota; Metazoa; Chordata; Mammalia; Primates; Cebidae. The record is from RNAcentral.
AAGGAGCAGGGUAAAAGGUGAACUCUAAGAAGUAUGCAAGAGUAGUAUGCAGAAACAGCCUUGUCAGGGUGCCGUUUUGAAAGGAAGGCUGCUUAACUCAUUUUGACCGCUGUGCAUAAUAUUCAGGCUUGCAGGCUGAUGGAACCUCUAUCCAGAACAUCACUGAUCUAUAUGGAAGGGCAAGAGUGAAGCCUGUGAAUUCUUACUGGCUUCUUCCAGGAAAUGGCACAGCUCACUUCAGCUUAUGUUUUAUUGAUCAAAGCAAUUCACAUGGUUAGCUACACUCCAAAGAGCUAAAGAGGACAGAAGAGGUCUUAUGUACGUUGUUUGAAGGCAUUUCGUGAAGCUGCCUAAGAGUCUCC